This 497-nucleotide ribosomal RNA is filed under the name uncultured bacterium. RNAcentral describes it as "partial 16S ribosomal RNA". It matches the Rfam family "Bacterial small subunit ribosomal RNA", at positions 28 to 507 of the family's 1533-position model. The record is from RNAcentral.
GAUGAACGCUGGCGGCGUGCCUAAUACAUGCAAGUCGAGCGAACGGACGAGAAGCUUGCUUCUCUGAUGUAAGCGGCGGACGGGUGAGUAACACGUGGAUAACCUACCUAUAAGACUGGGAUAACUUCGGGAAACCGGAGCUAAUACCGGAUAAUAUUUUGAACCGCAUGGUUCAAAAGUGAAAGACGGUCUUGCUGUCACUUAUAGAUGGAUCCGCGCUGCAUUAGCUAGUUGGUAAGGUAACGGCUUACCAAGGCAACGAUGCAUAGCCGACCUGAGAGGGUGAUCGGCCACACUGGAACUGAGACACGGUCCAGACUCCUACGGGAGGCAGCAGUAGGGAAUCUUCCGCAAUGGGCGAAAGCCUGACGGAGCAACGCCGCGUGAGUGAUGAAGGUCUUCGGAUCGUAAAACUCUGUUAUUAGGGAAGAACAUAUGUGUAAGUAACUGUGCACAUCUUGACGGUACCUAAUCAGAAAGCCACGGCUAACUACGUG